Bacillus sp. MRMR6 is the source of this 117-nucleotide ribosomal RNA. The record is from Rfam. Lineage: Bacteria; Bacillati; Bacillota; Bacilli; Caryophanales; Bacillaceae.
UCUGGUAAUUAAGGCGAGAAGGUCACACCCGUUCCCAUACCGAACACGGAAGUUAAGCUUCUCAGCGCCGAUGGUAGUUGGGGCAGGCGCCCCUGUGAGAGUAGGACGUUGCCAGGC